AUCCAGCUGACGAAUCCCAAAUAGGACGAAACACAUAUCAAACUGGAU
Non-coding RNA from Schistosoma rodhaini, 48 nucleotides. The record is from Rfam. NCBI's taxonomy places the organism in Eukaryota, Metazoa, Platyhelminthes, Trematoda, Strigeidida, Schistosomatidae.